RNAcentral lists this ribosomal RNA (467 nucleotides) under uncultured bacterium. Its description in RNAcentral is "partial 16S ribosomal RNA". It matches the Rfam family "Bacterial small subunit ribosomal RNA", at positions 28 to 507 of the family's 1533-position model. The record is from RNAcentral.
GAUGAACGCUUGCGGCGUGCUUAACACAUGCAAGUCGAACGGAAAGGCCCAAGCUUGCUUGGGUACUCGAGUGGCGAACGGGUGAGUAACACGUGGGUGAUCUGCCCUGCACUUCGGGAUAAGCCUGGGAAACUGGGUCUAAUACCGGAUAGGACCACUUCUUGGAUGUUGUGGUGGAAAGUUUUUUCGGUGUGGGAUGAGCUCGCGGCCUAUCAGCUUGUUGGUGGGGUAAUGGCCUACCAAGGCGUCGACGGGUAGCCGGCCUGAGAGGGUGUACGGCCACAUUGGGACUGAGAUACGGCCCAGACUCCUACGGGAGGCAGCAGUGGGGAAUAUUGCACAAUGGGCGCAAGCCUGAUGCAGCGACGCCGCGUGGGGGAUGACGGCCUUCGGGUUGUAAACUCCUUUCGCUAGGGACGAAGCGUUUUGUGACGGUACCUGGAGAAGAAGCACCGGCUAACCACGUG